GUGGGAAAAGCUCAACUUUGAAAUCUGGUACUUUCAGUAUCCGAAUUGUAGUCUCAAGAAGUGUUUUCUGUGCCGGUCCAUGUAUGAGUCUGUUGGAACACAGCGUCAUAGAGGGUGACAACCCCGUUCAUGACAUGGAUCCCGGUGCUUUGUGAUACACUCUCGAAGAGUCGAGUUGUUUGGGAAUGCAGCUCAAAUUGGGUGGUAAAUUCCAUCUAAAGCUAAAUAUUGGCGAGAGACCGAUAGCAAACAAGUACCGUGAGGGAAAGAUGAAAAGCACUUUGGAAAGAGAGUUAACAGUACGUGAAAUUGUUGAAAGGGAAACGAUUGAAGUCAGACGUGCGUGAUGCGGUUCAGCUUUAGUUCGCUAGAGUGUACUCCGUAUCUUUGCAGGCCAGCAUCGGUUUUGUUAGUCGGAUAAAGGUUUGAGAAAUGUGGCAUCUUCGGAUGUGUUAUAGUCUCAGACUGAAUACGAUUGAUGGGACCGAGGAACGCAGCGCGCCGCAAGGCAAAGGUUCCGACCUUUUCGCGCUUAGGAUGCUGGUGAAAUGGCUUUAAACGACCCGUCUU
This 570-nucleotide ribosomal RNA is filed under the name Cystobasidium ongulense. Its description in RNAcentral is "partial large subunit ribosomal RNA". It matches the Rfam family "Eukaryotic large subunit ribosomal RNA", at positions 98 to 655 of the family's 3401-position model. Lineage: Eukaryota; Fungi; Basidiomycota; Cystobasidiomycetes; Cystobasidiales; Cystobasidiaceae. The record is from RNAcentral.